UACGAAGGGGGCUAGCGUUGCUCGGAAUCACUGGGCGUAAAGGGUGCGUAGGCGGGUCUUUAAGUCAGGGGUGAAAUCCUGGAGCUCAACUCCAGAACUGCCUUUGAUACUGCCGUGCUUGAGGACUGGAGAGGAGACUGGAAUUUACGGUGUAGCGGUGAAAUGCGUAGAUAUCGUAAGGAAGACCAGUGGCGAAGGCGGGUCUCUGGACAGUUCCUGACGCUGAGGCACGAAGGCCAGGGGAGCAAACGGG
RNAcentral lists this ribosomal RNA (253 nucleotides) under uncultured bacterium. RNAcentral describes it as "partial 16S ribosomal RNA". It matches the Rfam family "Bacterial small subunit ribosomal RNA", at positions 524 to 776 of the family's 1533-position model. The record is from RNAcentral.